RNAcentral lists this ribosomal RNA (253 nucleotides) under uncultured bacterium. RNAcentral's name for it is "partial 16S ribosomal RNA". It matches the Rfam family "Bacterial small subunit ribosomal RNA", at positions 524 to 776 of the family's 1533-position model. The record is from RNAcentral.
GACAGAGGGUGCAAACGUUGUUCGGAAUUACUGGGCGUAAAGCGCGUGUAGGCGGCUCGGAAAGUCGGAUGUGAAAGCCCUGGGCUUAACCUAGGAAGUGCAUUCGAAACUCCCGAGCUUGAGUUCCGGAGAGGAAGGCGGAAUUCUCGGUGUAGAGGUGAAAUUCGUAGAUAUCGAGAGGAACACCGGUGGCGAAGGCGGCCUUCUGGACAGUGACUGACGCUGAGACGCGAAAGCGUGGGGAGCAAACAGG